RNAcentral lists this transfer RNA (69 nucleotides) under Tylosurus crocodilus (hound needlefish). RNAcentral describes it as "tRNA-Arg". It matches the Rfam family "tRNA". From Rfam's summary of the family: Transfer RNA (tRNA) molecules are approximately 80 nucleotides in length. Their secondary structure includes four short double-helical elements and three loops (D, anti-codon, and T loops). The record is from RNAcentral. Lineage: Eukaryota; Metazoa; Chordata; Actinopteri; Beloniformes; Belonidae.
AGGCUGUUAGUUUAAUAAAAACAUUUGAUUUCGGCUCAAAAACUCAUGGUUUAAGUCCAUAACCGCCUA